UUAUAUCGGAGCAGCUGUCGCCCUCUAGUGUCCGACUAUCGGCGACGACGAGUGGCGCCUCCUGGGUCUUAGGGCCUGCCUUCAGGAGGAGCCGGUAAGUGGGGCUGGAGCGCUGCGCUGGCGGGAGAGGCCGGGCCGCAACGCCCACUGGCCCCUGAGCCGCGAGCAGAGCCGUGACCCGCACGCGGUGCCCCAUCCUCGGCCGAGUUGUCGCCCCCACGCACACGUGGUCGGUGGCGGGCCCCCCUUCUUUAGCCUCCCCAAGACACCCACUUCCAGCCAAAGGCCGGCAUUCCAGCAGCACCCGGCCGCCGCGCAGGGGGUUGGUGGAGUGCAGUCUUGGUCUCCGAGCUACUGUGGCGCCUGCUCGCUUUAAAAGCUAGAGCCAGUCUUGUCCGGGAUCGGGGUUUCUGGAAGGCGGCGACGUGGAGAAGGAGCCGGGGUGGGGGUGGGAGGCAGAGAACAGUUUUGAAGAUACGGCCCAGGGCACACCACCGUGUGGAGAGGCCCGGAGCGCGGUGAUUGAGCGUCUUUAUCUCUGGUCACCCACCGAUUCCGUGUAGCACCUCUCCCUGCUCUGCCUCUGGCAGUACUUCGGGGUGUCACGGGCUCCGCGGCGCCGGGCACUAGGACCCCGCGGGGAGCAGAGGGAAGGGGAGGCGGCCGCGGCCAGGGAGCCUGGUGGACUUGUCCGGUCUGACCGCCUGGGCUGGAAAACUUUUUCUUUUUAAUUAUUUCUUCUAGCCGGAGCGCUAGGGUUGCUAAGCGCGCGGGGCUGGCACGGCUACCCCGCGCGGGGCGGCCAAUUUUUCCCUGUGCGACGGGCGGAGCUGGAUUCCGGGGCUGGGGUACCGGGACGAGGGGAGCGCUCUGAAGGGGGAGGAGAACUUGCCUCCGGAACGGGGAUCCCGAAGAGGGCUGGCUGUCAACGGGCUGGAAUCCGUUGGCCUCUCCCCUAAUCCCUGUUCAGAUAUCCUAGUUCCAGCCACCAUGGUCUCUCGCCUGGACCACUGCAGCAGCCUCUAACCAGUGUCCCUGCAGUCCUCCUUGCCUCCCCCCUCCCCCAACCCAAGCAUCUCCACAAAGCAGCCUGAGUUACCCGUUGAACAUGUGCUGGGAUCAUGUCACUCACCUACUUCAACUUCCUGUGACCUCCCACUGCAUGUGGAAGAAGACGGGUGAUGUCUCAACCUGGCCACAAGGCCUGCAUGAUUUGGCCCUCACCUCUUCUUACUCCUCAGACUCUUCUUGGCUCCCAACUAUGCUCUUUGCAGAGCCUAGUGUCUCCCAGCCUCAGGGUGCUUCAGUUUGCUGUGCUGGCUCCCUGGAAUGUUCUUCCGAAAUGUUGGCAUGACUCCUUCUUCCUGUCAUUUGAGUCUCCCCUUCUUGAAGAGGUUCCUCUCAGAAUGCCAGCUCCACAGACAGGACCUUGUCUGUCCUGUUCCGCCUAUUUCCAGAGCUAGAACAGGCCUUGGCAUAUGGUAGAGCCUCAAAUAUUUGUUGACUGGACAGGAAUGGAUUCUAUUCAAGAAAACCCUUACCCGGCCAUCCUCCCAGAACUCAGCUUCUUCCCAAGCCUAGGAGGGGUGCUCAAGGGUGGCCCCAAAGGAUGCUGGGGAACACCCAACCCCCUGGGUAUCAGGAGCCUCUGAAGACAUGCGUGGCAAUACUGCCAGGGCCUGGAGGGUCUACACAGUGCCUCCUGGCUAACUGGAAAGAAGCCCCUCAGGCAGAUGCAGACCCCUGGGGCUUGGCUGAGCAGAAAGUGCCUUUGUCAGGAGGGGGCUCAUUUGUGUAGCGACAACUUCUCAGCCAGACAAGACAGCCCUGGAACCCCCUCUCCUCCCACUUUGGCUCCAGAGCAUCCCUAUCUGUAGGGCACUGCUGGGAGGGUGCCCAGGAGAGCAAGACUUAGUCCUUGGACAUGAGGCAUCAGAUCCACCUGGGAGGACAGGCCUGCCUCCUGCAGGCUCACGUGGGAGGCAGUGGCCGCCCCAGCAUGUAGACCUCACAACCCUACUGCUCAGGAGGUGGGGCCGGGCUCCUGGCCCACUUUUGUGCACCAACCAUUUGGAUCCCAUUCCUUCUCUUUGCUGAUUCCAAGGAUUUAUGCCUCAAGGUGCAUCUUAAAAAACAUCAAACAAAUAAAACUUAAAGAAGGCAAGAAACCAAAUUGCAAAUCAAAGCAAGAGUCUUUGGGUGCUGGCUCAUAGAGGGCUCAGUUCUAGCCCUCUUUCCUUGUGAUUGUACUGCUCCCCGGUCUCAUGCCCACCACACUGUGUGUAAAAC
Long non-coding RNA from Myotis brandtii (Brandt's bat), 2289 nucleotides. RefSeq lists it as uncharacterized. Lineage: Eukaryota; Metazoa; Chordata; Mammalia; Chiroptera; Vespertilionidae. The transcript is spliced from 3 exons. The record is from RefSeq and is a predicted model, not a curated record.